Molecule: ribosomal RNA, 1203 nt
Filed under: Bacteroides thetaiotaomicron
Lineage: Bacteria; Pseudomonadati; Bacteroidota; Bacteroidia; Bacteroidales; Bacteroidaceae
Description: partial 16S ribosomal RNA
Source: RNAcentral
CCCCGGCUUUCAUGGCUUGACGGGCGGUGUGUACAAGGCCCGGGAACGUAUUCACCGCGCCAUGGCUGAUGCGCGAUUACUAGCGAAUCCAGCUUCACGAAGUCGGGUUGCAGACUUCGAUCCGAACUGAGAGAGGCUUUUGGGAUUAGCAUCCUGUCACCAGGUAGCUGCCUUCUGUACCCCCCAUUGUAACACGUGUGUAGCCCCGGACGUAAGGGCCGUGCUGAUUUGACGUCAUCCCCACCUUCCUCACAUCUUACGACGGCAGUCUCUCUAGAGUCCUCAGCAUGACCUGUUAGUAACUAAAGAUAAGGGUUGCGCUCGUUAUGGCACUUAAGCCGACACCUCACGGCACGAGCUGACGACAACCAUGCAGCACCUUCACAUUUGCCUUGCGGCUAACCUGUUUCCAGAUUAUUCAAAUGCAAUUUAAGCCCGGGUAAGGUUCCUCGCGUAUCAUCGAAUUAAACCACAUGUUCCUCCGCUUGUGCGGGCCCCCGUCAAUUCCUUUGAGUUUCACCGUUGCCGGCGUACUCCCCAGGUGGAAUACUUAAUGCUUUCGCUUGGCCGCUUACUGUAUAUCGCAAACAGCGAGUAUUCAUCGUUUACUGUGUGGACUACCAGGGUAUCUAAUCCUGUUUGAUACCCACACUUUCGAGCAUCAGUGUCAGUUGCAGUCCAGUGAGCUGCCUUCGCAAUCGGAGUUCUUCGUGAUAUCUAAGCAUUUCACCGCUACACCACGAAUUCCGCCCACCUCUACUGUACUCAAGACAGCCAGUAUCAACUGCAAUUUUACGGUUGAGCCGCAAACUUUCACAACUGACUUAACUGUCCACCUACGCUCCCUUUAAACCCAAUAAAUCCGGAUAACGCUCGGAUCCUCCGUAUUACCGCGGCUGCUGGCACGGAGUUAGCCGAUCCUUAUUCAUAUGGUACAUACAAAAUUCCACACGUGGAAAACUUUAUUCCCAUAUAAAAGAAGUUUACAACCCAUAGGGCAGUCAUCCUUCACGCUACUUGGCUGGUUCAGGCCUGCGCCCAUUGACCAAUAUUCCUCACUGCUGCCUCCCGUAGGAGUUUGGACCGUGUCUCAGUUCCAAUGUGGGGGACCUUCCUCUCAGAACCCCUAUCCAUCGAAGGUUUGGUGAGCCGUUACCUCACCAACUGCCUAAUGGAACGCAUCCCCAUCGAUAACCGAAAUUC